Molecule: long non-coding RNA, 358 nt
Filed under: Gossypium barbadense (sea-island cotton)
Lineage: Eukaryota; Viridiplantae; Streptophyta; Magnoliopsida; Malvales; Malvaceae
Description: long non-coding RNA (GBAR_LNC014137)
Source: RNAcentral
GGUUGUGAAACAAAGGAACCUCAGUAUUGUUCUCUUAAUGAAGUGUCCUAUGAAUACACGGAAGAUUCUGAAACCAGGCUUGACAUGGGGCUUUCUGGUUGUGAAACAAAGGAACCUCAGUAUUGUUCUCUUAAUGAAGUGUCCUAUGAAUACAUGGAAGAUUCUGAGACCAGGCUUGACGUGGGGCUUUCUGGCGCUGAAACAAAGGAACCUCAGUAUUGUUGUCUUAAUGAAGUGUCCUAUGAAUAUAGGGAAAAUUUUGAGACCAAGUUUGAUGUAGGGGUUUCUAGUUGGGAGAUUGUUCAGGUACACAGUCCAGAAAAUAAUGCGUAUUUUGGCUUGUCUGGAUAUAGGGAAG